This 71-nucleotide transfer RNA is filed under the name Diogenichthys atlanticus (longfin lanternfish). RNAcentral's name for it is "tRNA-Ser (AGY)". The record is from RNAcentral. Lineage: Eukaryota; Metazoa; Chordata; Actinopteri; Myctophiformes; Myctophidae.
CGAGGAAGGCUCGACAGCAGUGUAGAUUGCUAAUCCUUCACCCCUCCAGUUAAACCCUGAAGCUUCCUCGC